AGAAACUUAGGUUAAACAUUAAACCAAGAGCCUUCAAAGCCCUAAACAGAGGAAGAUCACACCCCUAGUUUCUG
This 74-nucleotide transfer RNA is filed under the name Bavayia astrongatti. RNAcentral describes it as "tRNA-Trp". It matches the Rfam family "tRNA". From Rfam's summary of the family: Transfer RNA (tRNA) molecules are approximately 80 nucleotides in length. Their secondary structure includes four short double-helical elements and three loops (D, anti-codon, and T loops). The record is from RNAcentral. Lineage: Eukaryota; Metazoa; Chordata; Lepidosauria; Squamata; Diplodactylidae.